GCUGGGGCCAUCUGUCUAAAGGCAGGCACGGGUGUCAGGAAGGGAGGGCCUUUUCCAGGCUCUUUCCAGUCUGGACCUCAGACAUACUGGGAGAUAAAGGGAUGAAGAAAAGGAUAUGAUAAAUAUCUUGACUGCAGGAAGUGGUGUUCUAAGGACAUUAGUCACUUCGGAUAAAGUUGCCAAAGAAGGCAAUUCCAGCAUGUAAAGAAGGAGAGGGUCCAAGUGUUUGCGUUCCUGGGUGUGAAGAUGAUGGUGUAAACCUCUGUCUGGUCAGUUUGUCCCCACGAGCUGAACCUGGCGUGGUGGUGCCUGCAGCUGCUGGAGUGGAGAGCGAGGUGAAAACCCGCAGGAGAGCUGUACCGUGGGUGCUCCUCAGCCAUAACCUCCAGCCGCGCCCUCGUUUCCCUUUGACAGAGGGAGGAGGCUGGCGCAAGAGCUGUUUCAUCAGCCCCUGGCUGCAAUCAGAUUGUACAUGUAGCGGGUUGGUAUCCCUUCAAUGGCUGUAUGGAACGAUUACACCAGAUUACCCAGUGCACAGCCUGCUCUUUCACUCACCUCCACAGGUUUUACUCCAUAGUUGUCAGGCAGGCAGGACAUUUUGGUAU
Long non-coding RNA from Passer montanus (Eurasian tree sparrow), 605 nucleotides. RefSeq lists it as uncharacterized. The record is from RefSeq and is a predicted model, not a curated record. NCBI's taxonomy places the organism in Eukaryota, Metazoa, Chordata, Aves, Passeriformes, Passeridae. The transcript is spliced from 3 exons.